GAGAUAAUAGUAUAAUUUUGAGUAUAUUUCUUUUUCGAAGAAGUGGCGGGUUAUCUUA
This 58-nucleotide transfer RNA is filed under the name Toxocara cati (cat roundworm). RNAcentral's name for it is "transfer RNA-Glu". The record is from RNAcentral. Lineage: Eukaryota; Metazoa; Nematoda; Chromadorea; Rhabditida; Toxocaridae.